Molecule: ribosomal RNA, 447 nt
Filed under: uncultured bacterium
Lineage: Bacteria
Description: bacterial SSU rRNA
Rfam family: Bacterial small subunit ribosomal RNA
Source: RNAcentral
UCGGGAAUUUUGUGCAAUGGGCGAAAGCCUGACACAGCAACGCCGCGUGAAGGAUGAAGUCCCUCGGGAUGUAAACUUCGUAAGAAUAGGAAGAAUAAAUGACGGUACUAUUUGUAAGGUCCGGCUAACUACGUGCCAGCAGCCGCGGUAAUACGUAGGGACCAAGCGUUGUUCGGAUUUACUGGGCGUAAAGGGUGCGUAGGCGGCAUAUCAAGUCACUUGUGAAAUCUCCGGGCUUAACUCGGAACUGCCAAGUGAUACUGAUGUGCUAGAGUGCAGAAAGGGCAACUGGAAUUCUUGGUGUAGCGGUGAAAUGCGUAGAUAUCAAGAGGAACACCUGAGGUGAAGACGGGUUGCUGGGCUGAUACUGACGCUGAGGCGCGAAAGCUAGGGUAGCAAACGGGAUUAGAUACCCACGUAGUCCCUGAGCGGGCUGGCAAGGCGCAU